This 800-nucleotide ribosomal RNA is filed under the name Tenacibaculum sp. Tb90. RNAcentral describes it as "bacterial SSU rRNA". It matches the Rfam family "Bacterial small subunit ribosomal RNA", at positions 62 to 863 of the family's 1533-position model. Lineage: Bacteria; Pseudomonadati; Bacteroidota; Flavobacteriia; Flavobacteriales; Flavobacteriaceae. The record is from RNAcentral.
UCGAGGGGUAACAUUGGUGCUUGCAUCAGAUGACGACCGGCGAACGGGUGCGUAACGCGUAUAGAAUCUGCCUUGUACAGGAGGAUAGCCUUUAGAAAUGAAGAUUAAUACUCCAUAAUAUUGGGAAGUGGCAUCACUAUCUAAUUAAACAUUUAUGGGUACAAGAUGACUAUGCGUCCUAUUAGCUAGAUGGUAAGGUAACGGCUUACCAUGGCAACGAUAGGUAGGGGGUCUGAGAGGAUUAUCCCCCACACUGGUACUGAGACACGGACCAGACUCCUACGGGAGGCAGCAGUGAGGAAUAUUGGUCAAUGGAGGCAACUCUGAACCAGCCAUGCCGCGUGCAGGAAGACUGCCCUAUGGGUUGUAAACUGCUUUUAUACAGGAAGAAACAGUCGUACGAGUACGGCCUUGACGGUACUGUAAGAAUAAGCACCGGCUAACUCCGUGCCAGCAGCCGCGGUAAUACGGAGGGUGCAAGCGUUAUCCGGAAUCAUUGGGUUUAAAGGGUCCGCAGGCGGUCAAUUAAGUCAGAGGUGAAAUCCCAUAGCUUAACUAUGGAACUGCCUUUGAUACUGGUUGACUUGAGUUAUACGGAAGUAGAUAGAAUAAGUAGUGUAGCGGUGAAAUGCAUAGAUAUUACUUAGAAUACCGAUUGCGAAGGCAGUCUACUACGUAUAUACUGACGCUCAUGGACGAAAGCGUGGGGAGCGAACAGGAUUAGAUACCCUGGUAGUCCACGCCGUAACGAUGGACACUAGUUGUUGGGAUUUAUCUCAGUGACUAAGCGAAAGUGAUAA